AUGGAACGACUGGUGCCCAUGCUGCUCUACAUGCUGUCCAAGUGCCACUUUGUGCUUGUUUCUGUGGUCUUCUUCAUCUGAUUUGGUCUGACCAUCUUUGUUGGGAUCAGAGGACCUGAAGUGAUUCAGACUUCUGCAGCUAAUUUUUCACUAAAGAAUAGCAAAAAGCUAAAACCAAUCCUAAUAUGUUCAAAUCCACUGUCUACGUAAAAUCAGCAACUGGAGCUGACAUGAGUUGUUGAGUUGGAGCAAUCAAAAGAAACUUCUAAUCAGACAAGCUUUCCCAUGACUCUCAAAGUCAAUGGUGUGGCUCAAGACAGAACCAUGAUGUACAUUCACAGCAAGGUUCACAAUUGGACAAGGACCCUCAUGUGUGUGGGGAAAUGUGCAGAAAUCAUUGUGGCUCACCUUGGCUACUCGAACUACACCCAAUACACAGUAACUGUGGGAUUCGAGCACCUGAACCUCCCCAUCAAGAAGAUGAACUUCACAUGGAAGACGUAUGACCCUGUGUUUUCCCAGUUUGAAAUUUGGUUUUGCUUUGUCUUUGUGGUGCUCACCUUCAUUGUCACCUGCCUGUUUGUGCAUUCCCUGCGCAAGUUCUCCAUGAAAGACUGGGGCAUUCAGCAGAAGUGGAUGUCUGUCCUCCUGUCACUGCUAAUGCUGUACAAUGACCCAUUCUUCCCCCUCUCCUUCCUGGUGAACAGCUGGUUCCCAGGGAUGCUGGAUGAUCUCUUCCAGUCUGUGUUCCUGUGUGCCUUGCUGCUCCUCUGGCUGUGUGUGUACCACGGGAUGUGGGUUCAAGGAGAAAGAAAAUGCCUUACUUUCUAUUUGUCUAAAUUCUUCAUCAUUGGACUAUUGUGCCUGGCUUCUGUCACUCUAGGAAUAUGGCAAACAGUUAAUGAAUUACAUGACCCAAUGUACCAGUAUCGAGUGGACACUGGAAAUUUUCAGGGAAUGAAGAUUUUCUUCAUGGUAGUGGCAGCUGUGUACAUCCUGUACCUCUUGUUCUUGAUGGUGUAUGUGUGCUCCAAGCUCUGCAACAUGUCUUACAUGGAUCUCAGGUUAAAAUUUUUGACAACAUUGACCUUUGUAGUGUUUGUUAUUAGCAUCGUCAUCCUUUAUUUAAGGUUUGAAGCACAAGUAUUGCAGGACAACUUUGUAGCAGAGCUGUCAACUCAUUACCAGAAUCCAACAGAAUUCUUAUCAUUCUAUGGCUUGUUGAACUUCUACCUGUACACUUUGGCCUUUAUAUAUUCUCCUUCAAAGAAUGGUCUUAUGAGUACCAGUUGAAAGACAACCAGGCAUUUUCCACACUCAAUGACUUCGAUGACGAUGUGAUCUACAGGAGUGACUAUGAAGAAAUGCUGCUGCAGAAUGGCCAGGCCAUUUGGGCCAAGUACAAGGAAGAGUUGAACAGCAACUAG
Octodon degus (degu) is the source of this 1427-nucleotide RNA transcript. It is a transcript of the gene named transmembrane protein 181 pseudogene, with no coding region annotated. NCBI's taxonomy places the organism in Eukaryota, Metazoa, Chordata, Mammalia, Rodentia, Octodontidae. The record is from RefSeq and is a predicted model, not a curated record. The transcript has a single exon.